GGAUGAAGAAGUUAUCCCACUUUCAAAUUAGGUGAUCCCAGUUUUCCUGUUUGGGAAUAUGACAACUUCCUCGUCAUUCUAAUCAAACCAGGAUGAAUCGCGAUGUAUGAAGCUGUAUUUGGAUACAUAAAGUAGUGGAGAAUCACCAGGAAGUGGAAUAAAUCUCAUAGGAAUUAGGAUGAAGAAAUUAUCCCACUUUCAAAUCAGGUGAUUCCAGUUUUCCUGUUUGGGAAUAUGACAACUUCCCCGUCAUUCUGAUCAAACCAGGAUGAAUCGCGAUGUAAGAAGCAUUAUUUGGAUACAUAAAGUAGUGGAGAAUCACCAGGAAGUUGAAUAAAUCUCAUAGGAGUUAGGAA
RNAcentral lists this long non-coding RNA (356 nucleotides) under Brassica napus (rape). RNAcentral describes it as "long non-coding RNA (BNAP_LNC021037)". Lineage: Eukaryota; Viridiplantae; Streptophyta; Magnoliopsida; Brassicales; Brassicaceae. The record is from RNAcentral.